ACUCCAAAAGUGUAACAACUAACUCUAUUGUUGACAUAUUCAACGACUCUAGUACAGCUUUUACCCUAUAUUUCUUGCAACAUACCGACCAAGUACUCAUACCGGCGCUCCCUGUGAAUCCUACUGUGUGGGGUCGGGAACAAGCAGUUGUCCUAACACGAUGGCGGAAUGGGAUCUAGAAGUUUCCAUGGAACUGCCGCACUGGCUCUUCUCUGCCUAUGGCGCCCAUCCACUAUAAAGAAAAAGUGACUCGAGGCAGUUAUCCAACCAUGGUGGCGGAGGUGGCGAACCGGACGUCGCCCCCCUGGAGGAGCUUGGAUGGCAAGGUCGUGAUGGUCACCGGCGCCUCCUCCGGCAUUGGCUGGGACCAUUGCCUCGACCUCGCCAGGGCCGGUUGCCGGAUCAUCGCGGCCGCGCGGCGGACAGACCGGCUGAGAUCCAUCUGCGAGGAGAUCAACGGUCCGGAUCGUCAGAGACCUCCGCCAUCCGAUCGGUGGCGAUCGAGCUGGAUGUGAGCUCGGGUGAGCCGGCGAUCGCGGCCUCGGUUCAGAGGGCGUGGGAUACGUUUGAUCGGAUCGAUGGGUUGGUGAACAACGCCGGAAUUCGAGGAAAGAAUCAACCAAUGAAUCUUGAAUUAUAAUGGGAUGUUAGAUUGGGAAAGUUUGCUCCGAGUUAUUUGGAGAUAUUCUUUAAGUUAGGUUUUAAGAUCUCAAGACGGUGCCGGCAGGAUCCCAGCGUUUGACAUGGAUUGAACUGUGAGCUUAGCAAACUUCAAGAACUCCUCCAACCAUAUGAGUUACCGGUGUUAUAUAGAUUGUAUAGGUGAAUCGAUAUAUGGAAGAUGCCUUGAGAAAAGAAA
This is a long non-coding RNA of Musa acuminata AAA Group (dessert banana), 859 nucleotides long. RefSeq lists it as uncharacterized. The record is from RefSeq and is a predicted model, not a curated record. NCBI's taxonomy places the organism in Eukaryota, Viridiplantae, Streptophyta, Magnoliopsida, Zingiberales, Musaceae. The transcript has 3 exons.